GGACGUCCUCCGUGUUUUUGUGUUGCUUGUGAGUCGCAUACAAAUGAUGUCACAGACUUUUGGACGCCAUGACUACCCCAAGCAAAUUGAGUUACAGGACAAACAAGCACUUCUCUUGUAGCUGUAAUGUGGCAGACAGACACAACAGUGCGCUUCAGCUGUUGGAAGAAAACAUUUAGCGAUCCUGCUCAUCACGGCCUCGUCUGAGAUGACAGCUGAACAGCCGACACCGACAGAGGAGAUAACUUCUGUACACAGCACGAAGGUGAAAAGCCCAAAUGUUAAACAUCUGAAAAAAUGCCGCGUGACACAAGCAGGAUGUCGACAACACCACUCAAAAGCACAGCAGAGGUCACACACAAAGCCACAGCCCUACAGACCCAAAGCUCGUAGAGGGAGUCUGGCUCCAAUUUUGCUACAGUAAAGGAAUGAAGUGAAGGAGUGACCACAUCUAGUGGUGAGUCUCCUGCUUUGUUUCUUCUGAAGAAGAUGAAAUAAAAAGAAAAACAGAAACGAAGAUCUUUAAAGAAACUUUUCUUUGCUGUUUGGCAUUGCGUUACAUUUCAGUGCAAUGCAAAUCAUAUGCAGUACUAACUAUAAAAAUCACAAUAUUUCUCAGAUCAGUGGUAUAUAAGAAAUAUGUGUAUGACAUAAAAAGGUUAUUAAGGCACUACAUAAAUGAAUGUAUCUGAUACAAUUAUAAUUUGAUGUUUAUGUUUAUAAGUCAGUUUUUAAUAUGGCCUUAUUCAUUUUACUGGUUUUGAUGGAAUGAAGAACAAGUUUUCAGUCUUCUAUUGUUGUAACUUUGCACUGUAACUGCUAUUGUUUCAUGAAUUUCAGUUUCAAAUAAAGUCACCCAGAGUUAAAGCAUAAAAA
Molecule: long non-coding RNA, 876 nt
Organism: Oreochromis aureus
Lineage: Eukaryota; Metazoa; Chordata; Actinopteri; Cichliformes; Cichlidae
Source: Ensembl